ACGGGUGAGUAACGCGUGGAUAACCUGCCUCAUACAGGGGGAUAACAGUUAGAAAUGACUGCUAAUACCGCAUAAGCACACGGGAGCGCAUGCUUCCGGGUGAAAAGCUCCGGCGGUAUGAGAUGGAUCCGCGUCUGAUUAGCUGGUUGGCGGGGUAACGGCCCACCAAGGCGACGAUCAGUAGCCGACCUGAGAGGGUGGCCGGCCACAUUGGGACUGAGACACGGCCCAAACUCCUACGGGAGGCAGCAGUGGGGAAUAUUGCACAAUGGGGGAAACCCUGAUGCAGCAACGCCGCGUGGGUGAAGAAGUAUUUCGGUAUGUAAAGCCCUAUCAGCAGGGAAGAGAAUGACGGUACCUGACUAAGAAGCCCCGGCUAACUACGUGCCAGCAGCCGCGGUAAUACGUAGGGGGCAAGCGUUAUCCGGAUUUACUGGGUGUAAAGGGAGCGUAGACGGUUGUGCAAGUCUGAAGUGAAAGCCCGCGGCUCAACUGCGGAACGGCUUUGGAAACUGUGUAACUGGAGUGCUGGAGAGGUAAGCGGAAUUCCUGGUGUAGCGGUGAAAUGCGUAGAGAUCAGGAGGAACACCGGCGGCGAAGGCGGCUUACUGGACAGUAACUGACGUUGAGGCUCGAAAGCGUGGGGAGCAAACAGGAUUAGAUACCCUGGUAGUCCACGCGGUAAACGAUGAAUGCUAGGUGUUGGUGGGCA
Molecule: ribosomal RNA, 712 nt
Filed under: uncultured bacterium
Lineage: Bacteria
Description: bacterial SSU rRNA
Rfam family: Bacterial small subunit ribosomal RNA
Source: RNAcentral